UCGGGAAUUUUGGGCAAUGGGGGAAACCCUGACCCAGCAACGCCGCGUGAAGGAUGAAGUAUUUCGGUAUGUAAACUUCGAAAGAAUAGGAAGAAUAAAUGACGGUACUAUUUAUAAGGUCCGGCUAACUACGUGCCAGCAGCCGCGGUAACACGUAGGGACCAAGCGUUGUUCGGAUUUACUGGGCGUAAAGGGCGCGUAGGCGGUGUGUCAAGUCAGUUGUGAAAUCUCCGAGCUUAACUCGGAACGGUCAACUGAUACUGUCACACUAGAGUACAGAAGGGGCAAUCGGAAUUCUUGGUGUAGCGGUGAAAUGCGUAGAUAUCAAGAGGAACACCUGAGGCGAAGGCGGGUUGCUGGGCUGAUACUGACGCUGAGGCGCGAAAGCUAGGGUAGCAAACGGGAUUAGAUACCCAAGUAGUCCCUGAGCGGGC
RNAcentral lists this ribosomal RNA (434 nucleotides) under uncultured bacterium. RNAcentral describes it as "bacterial SSU rRNA". It matches the Rfam family "Bacterial small subunit ribosomal RNA", at positions 355 to 804 of the family's 1533-position model. The record is from RNAcentral.